GCUGGCAGACUGAGUAAUAAGAUUGCCCAUUUCUUUUUGCGUCCGUCUCCUUCUCUUACUAGUAGAGCCACUGCGAUGUUUUCAAUAAUGUUGGAAUACCGAGAAAUUCGCACCAACGUUCUUGUUUCUACCUUUCUCUCAAAAUGGAGCAUCCAUCUGGGGUCUCCAGUGAUCCCAUGACCUUGUUGUGCUCGGUGGCCCUGAUGUUGUUCCCAGGAUGAAAAUCUGCCUAUGUUGAAUAUGGUUGCCUUCAGGGACAUCCAAGUGAGGGACACCUGAGCCCUGCCCAUAGUGCCCUUGCACUAGUGAGAAGAUUCAGCCUGUUUCACGUCGGCUGGUUUGCAGGAUGCUCAGGAUCAGCGGUUCAAUAGCAGCAACUGUGCAGCAUUAUAUGCACUCCAACCUGUCGUGUGGUAGAGAUAUUCAAAGAACACAUUGAAUCCCUCAGCAAAACCAAAGAGCCCUCCCUCCCUAAAACAUGUAACUAGACUUACUUAUUGUUUUCCUGGUAGAAUUCAAACCCAUGACAGGCAGCAUAUGGUGGGGGGUGGCCAUUGUAAAUGCCCAGGGCUCCUUGCAGAGCAAUUAAGGUGCUGUCGUGCUAAAGUAGGUGAGCAGAAAUGAUUCAACCAAAGUAAUUUUUGCAUGUUACAUUAUACUGUAAUGAUGCUCUCAUCCCUAAAAAAUGCCACUCUGCUUCAUGGGCAGACUUGUGAUAUUACUCUCCCUCCCUUCCACACUCUUCCAUGAAGAGCACUAUCCAGAAAACUCUGGGUGGUAUUCAAUGCUAGUUCUAUGCAGAGUAGUCCCAUUGAAGAUUUAAUAGACAUGUCUAACUUGGGGGCAUUGAUUUCAGUGGGUGUACUUUGAGCGUUUCCCUUCAUGUAAGGUCCAAAGUUUGCAGGUUUGGUUUUAUAGCUGCAGUUUUGAGAUGGUUUUGUAGCACCUUUAAAAACUAUUGCUCCUUGCAGGAGAGCCACUUGGGAUGUUGGGGAAGCUAAGAGAUCCUUGUCCUAAAUGGGCAGAUACCUAGACACACUUCCCACAUGGUCCCUUUGAAAUUCCAAGCUGCAGAAAGGACUUACAGCUGAAUACACAAUCAUCUUCAGGGGAAGAUCUCGGCUCACAAUUUUGGAGAAGUUGCUCAGGAUAGCGCCAAGUAACAACCCUGUAAAGGGGGAGAGACUGCUGACAGAGUGGUGUAGCGUCGUAUGUCAAACGUUUAACUGACCAAUACAGGCACAAACCCAGUAGCUCUGCAAACAAGAAGGGGGGGCAAGAGGUGUAGGGAAACAUCUAAAAACGCAGCUGCAGGCUUAGAAGAGGGACUGAGCUGGUAUUUAACAAGUUGCAUCAAAUCAAGUAAUUGAAGGGUUUAUUCUCCCAUGUUAAAUAUCGGCUCCUGUGCCAUCAGGAGUUGCCUUCUGCUAAGCUAUUGGUCUGUCUAGCUCAGUACUCUUAACAUCGAACAGCAGUGGCUCUUUCAGGGUCUCGGGUUUUUCCCACCCCUGCCUGCAGAUGCAGGGGAUCAAACCUGAGGGAGGCCUGCGGGUGAAGCAGAUACUUGGCAACUGAGCCAUGGCCCUUUCUCAUCAAACAGCAUAUUCAUCAUGUGCCAAUGGCAUGGCAUAAUCUGCUUGUGAUUUUUUUUAUUACUACCAGAAUGCUGAUAUUGGCCCUUAACCUUCAGAUUUUGUUACUGUUUGUUUCGUGUUCUCAUAUUGCAGAAUUAAUGUUGCCUAUAAAACAUCUUUUUAUUACUUUGACUUGGUGGAUUUUUGAAUAAAUUUGCCCAGUCAAUUGCCAGUUGGUGGGAAUAGUAAGGGAGGAGAUUUCUCUUACACUCAGGUUCUGCAAUUGGGCUUCCUGUGGACACCUGACCGGCCACUGUAAGAACAGGAUGCUGGAUUAGAUAGGCCACUGGUCUGAUCCAGCAGACCCUUGUGUUCUUAUGCUGUGUUGAACUGCUUUGCUGUAAUAAUUUUUUAAUUAAAUGUUUAUUCCUGCCAUUCUUCCAAAGGGUUUAAGGUUGACACACACAGACAUUCUGCCUUUUACCCUCACAACAACCUUGUGAGGUAUAUUAGGCUGAGAGAUGGUGAUUGGCCCAAGCUCUCCCAAUAAGCUUUGAGGCUGAGUGGGAAUUUGAAGUUGGGUCUCCCCAAUUUAAAGCCAACACUCUAGCUCAGGAACCUCUGGCCCUCUGGAUAUCAUUGCUCCAGCCAUAUGGCCGACGGUCAGUUGUAGUCCAACAACAUUUGGAGGGCCACAGAUUUGUCAUCUCCGCUCUAGCUGCUAAAACCACACUCUCUGUAGCUGAUGAGUAAAGUGUGCUCUUUUGGUCAUUAUGUUAAAAUUACCCUGUGUUUUUAUUGGUAUGUUGUAUUUUGUAAUGUAGUAUUAGAGUGUUUAUACUAAAUUGUAAAGUUCAAAAAUGAGCUUGAUUACAAUUUAAAAUUUACCUCCAGUAAAUCGGGCCUUCUCCUGGCUUGCAUGCAUUCCCACAUGGGCUUCAACAUUAAAUGCUUCUAUCUCUGACAGCGUGGCCAGGACUUGUGGUGUGGCCCAGCUAGGCAAGGUCAGGUUGUGUGUUUUCUGCAGAGAAAAUGAGAGGAAGGUGUGCUGGAAGGCUAACAGGUGCUGAAGGAGGGAGGUUGUAAUGAGAUGCAGUAUCCCUACCUGACAGAAGAGAGAGUCAUGCACUCUCCAAAGGCCCCUCAGGGUCAGCUGCUCCAAUUUAAGCCCUGUACAAUUGGCCGUCUCUGUUACGAAACCCUGUAAGGGAGGGAAGAGGGAGAAAUUAGCUAAAUAAUUAGAACUUGAGUUUUGUUUAACUUAGCGAAGGCCAGUUUCACUAUCUUGCACGUUCUUGCUUGCAUCAGUGGGAGAUACGUCUGCGUAAACAUACAUAAGCCUGGGCUGUUAGGCAUAGAAGUUACAUGCAAAGUGUAACGGCUUCCAAAAAACCACUUCCAUGUAGUGUUGGUUCCAUGCUACAGCUGUAAUUUAUCUUAAAUGGCUUCUUUCAGAGGUCAGCAGGCUUACAACAUGGAAAUGCGUUGUUUUGGACAGCAAGUAUGCCAUACCUAAUAUCCUGUCCACACUCAAAAUUGGAGAUCCCCAAGGUUGUGCUUGCAGGCACUAUGGCACCCUCAGACAACACCCUCGAGGCCCACCAAGGCCCCCUGCCUCUCCCAUAUUUAUUGAUGUGUUUAUUUACAGACACAAAACUGAGGAGAGCUUGCUUACUUUGUGUCUGUUAUUUUAUUUUGGCUGUGUGUAGUUGUUUUUGCUUGGGGGGAGUCUGAGCAUCACCAUUUUUUCUUCUGUGAAUUAGAUAUUUUGUGGUUCCUGUGACAGUUUUUUAGAAUUCCGUAUGUGCCCCUAGGCUCCAAAAGGUGCUGACUGGAGCUGAUGGGGGUUGUAGUCCAAAAUAGCUGGAGGUUACCAGACUAUUCACACAUCUGGGAGUAAGUUCCAUUGGAUUGUAUUUAAGUCCUACGCAAAGUAGGUCUUUUUGAAAUUAAUGGACCUAAGUUAGUCAUGAGAGCCAGUGUGGUGUUGUGGUUAAGGUGUUGGACUAUGACCUGGGAGACCAGGGUUCGAAUCCCCACAUAGCCAUGAAGCUCACUGGGUGACCUUGGGCCAGUCACUGCCUCCUCUGAAUAACACUUAACAUGAAAACCCUAUUCAGAGGGUGGCCAUAAGUCAGAAUUGACUUGAAGGCAGUCCAUUUCCAUUUCCAAGUUAGUCAUGUCCAUUAGCUUCAGUGUGUCUGUUCUGGGUAGAACUAGCAUUGAAACUCAGUGAAUCCUGACAUGCUUGGAUUGCCUUGCGACUUAAGUAUUGCUGUUUUAUCUUGUGUCUGCUGUUACUAACGUUUUGUAUUUUUAUUUGAAUUUUGUACCUUUUUUGUAAACCACCCUGGAAUUUAUCCUGAUGUGGCAUAUAAAUAUUUUAAAUUAAUAUUAACGCUCAAAUUGGGCCCUCGGCUGGCCUUCAAAGACUUCCCAUACAUAAAGGGUUCCCUUAAUCAAAUUAAGGCAGUCAACUGUCUUCCAUUUCUAUACAUAAGGUAAGACAAGGACACUGGUUUAAUAUAAUUCACUCUCUCCAGGGAAUCCUGGGAAUAGUAUUUCUGUGAGGGGAGCUUUGGAUCCCUAUAGCAUCCUCACCAACCUACAAUUCCCAAGGUUCCUUGUGUGAAGGCCAGGACAGUUAAAGUAGUGUAAAACUACUAUAGGUUUGUAGUGUAGAUAUAUCCUAUAUGCUGGUGAAAGAAUGGAUUUCAAACCUUAUCCUCCGGAUUGUGUAGUUCUGCCACUGGCAAAGAGUUGGACUGAUGUCUCCCUUCCUACAAUAGCUACCCUGGUACAUAGACAGUAGAAGGGCAGGAUAGAAAUUUCAAUAUAAAAAAAUGAAUACGUUUCUAUGAAUUGGAUGAAAACGGAAUCACACACCCCCACCCGCUGCUGCCUUUUCUUCCUCUUCCUAGCCCAUCCCUCCAUCCCAGAUACCUUCCAGCUUUCCAUUCUAGCCUGAUAGCUUGGCAACUUAAUUGUUUCUUCCAUCAACUGUUGGUAUCGUAGGCAGGUUCGGGUUGGUGGCUUCAGCAGCUGUGAGGUGGGGGUGGGAAAGACAGGCAGAAGCUGACUAUUGGAGAAAGCGGACCCGUUGCCCCUCCCAAGCAUAAACUACCAGGCCACGCCAAACCAGAAAUCUUGAUUGAAUCUCACUUCUCCACAUGUAUUCACUUUUGCUCUGUCCCCCCAAAAGCUGCUGUGUAGCAGCCUUUGCUGACAUGGUGCCCUCUAGAUGCUUUGGCCUACUACAACUCCCAUCCAUGUUGGCUGGAGCCAAUGG
Long non-coding RNA from Rhineura floridana, 4863 nucleotides. RefSeq lists it as uncharacterized. The record is from RefSeq and is a predicted model, not a curated record. Lineage: Eukaryota; Metazoa; Chordata; Lepidosauria; Squamata; Rhineuridae. The transcript has 5 exons.